AAGUCGUAACAAGGUUUCCGUAGGUGAACCUGCGGAAGGAUCAUUUCCAAAAAAAACAAAACAAUAUAAACCAACCUUUGUGAAGAGUUUUAUAUUCUUUUUUUUACUUUGGGUGUGGGGAAAAAGUAUACUUCAAUUGUGUAUGUUUGAAAGAAAAUGCGAGUCCAGACUUAAUUGUCUGGCUAACAUCGAAACUCAGCUUGCUUUUGAUACUAUAUGUACAUUACCCCGCCCAAAGGCCAUGAUGAACUACCUCUUUGAGGUUGAUGUCCUAUUUAUAUUUUUCAAUCAUACGAAAGUAUAUAACAAAUGACAUGACAACUUUUAACGGUGGAUCUCUUGGCUCGU
RNAcentral lists this unclassified non-coding RNA (348 nucleotides) under fungal sp. RNAcentral's name for it is "partial internal transcribed spacer region". The stretch from base 1 to 46 matches the Rfam family "Eukaryotic small subunit ribosomal RNA", at positions 1786 to 1831 of the family's 1831-position model. The record is from RNAcentral. Lineage: Eukaryota; Fungi.